CGAACGGGUGAGUAAUACAUCGGAACGUGCCCAGUCGUGGGGAUAACUACUCAAAGAGUAGCUAAUACCGCAUACGAUCUGAGGAUGAAAGCGGGGGACCUUCGGGCCUCGCGCGAUUGGAGCGGCCGAUGGCAGAUUAGGUAGUUGGUGGGAUAAAAGCUUACCAAGCCGACGAUCUGUAGCUGGUCUGAGAGGACGACCAGCCACACUGGACUGAGACACGGCCCAGACUCCUACGGGAGGCAGCAGUG
Molecule: ribosomal RNA, 251 nt
Filed under: uncultured Delftia sp.
Lineage: Bacteria; Pseudomonadati; Pseudomonadota; Betaproteobacteria; Burkholderiales; Comamonadaceae
Description: partial 16S ribosomal RNA
Rfam family: Bacterial small subunit ribosomal RNA
Source: RNAcentral